RNAcentral lists this transfer RNA (58 nucleotides) under Salmo salar (Atlantic salmon). It matches the Rfam family "tRNA", at positions 8 to 63 of the family's 71-position model. Rfam says of the family: Transfer RNA (tRNA) molecules are approximately 80 nucleotides in length. Their secondary structure includes four short double-helical elements and three loops (D, anti-codon, and T loops). The record is from Rfam by way of RNAcentral. Lineage: Eukaryota; Metazoa; Chordata; Actinopteri; Salmoniformes; Salmonidae.
UGGCUCAGUUGGUAGAGCAUGGCACUUUCAAUGCCAAGGUUGCAGGUUCAAUUCCCAU